RNAcentral lists this ribosomal RNA (350 nucleotides) under uncultured bacterium. RNAcentral describes it as "bacterial SSU rRNA". It matches the Rfam family "Bacterial small subunit ribosomal RNA", at positions 355 to 696 of the family's 1533-position model. The record is from RNAcentral.
UGGGGAAUUUUGCACAAUGGGCGCAAGCCUGAUGCAGCAACGCCGCGUGAGUGAAGAAGGCUCUUGGGUCGUAAAGCUCUUUCGCGUGAGAAGAAGGGUGUUAUCUCUAAUAGGUUUAGCAUCUGACGGUAUCACGAUAAGAAGCACCGGCUAAUUUCGUGCCAGCAGCCGCGGUAAUACGAAAGGUGCGAGCGUUGUUCGGAUUGACUGGGCGUAAAGCGCGUGUAGGCGGCUUAGUAAGUUGGUUGUGAAAGCCCCGAGCUCAACUUGGGAAUUGCAAUCAAAACUACUUUGCUUGAAUGCUUGAGAGGUCUGUGGAAUUCCAGGUGUAGCAGUGAAAUGCGUAGAUA